This 255-nucleotide ribosomal RNA is filed under the name uncultured bacterium. RNAcentral describes it as "partial 16S ribosomal RNA". The record is from RNAcentral.
CUGCUGCCUCCCGUAGGAGUUUGGGCCGUGUCUCAGUCCCAAUGUGGCCGGUCACCCUCUCAGGUCGGCUACUGAUCGUCGCCUUGGUGGGCCGUUACCCCACCAACCAGCUAAUCAGACGCGGGUCCAUCUCAUACCACCGGAGUUUUUCACACUUUAUCAUGCGAUCUCGUGCGCUUAUGCGGUAUUAGCAGUCAUUUCUAACUGUUAUCCCCCUGUAUGAGGCAGGUUACCCACGCGUUACUCACCCGUCCG